Molecule: long non-coding RNA, 645 nt
Filed under: Octopus sinensis (East Asian common octopus)
Lineage: Eukaryota; Metazoa; Mollusca; Cephalopoda; Octopoda; Octopodidae
Description: uncharacterized LOC118763773, transcript variant X1
Source: RNAcentral
AGGAUGGUCAGUAAACGCUUAAAGACACACACGUCAAUUUAUAAGCUGCAACACAAAGGGAUUUAAACAGAGUUACUUACCUUACAUAUGUCCGAUAGAAGAUACGCAUGCGCAUUGAAAGUACUUCCACAUGAUCUUAAUUGUCUUUUGCAAGAUUUUCUCUUGAUCAGCUGAUAAUAAUAGAUUUAUAAUAUUUAUAACGCAUUUCUCAACAACCACACACACACAUAUAUAACAACACUAUCUGUUAUGAAACAUUUCCAACAUCGGAUGACAGAAGAAGCAUCCUCAAUAUCUACUAUGUUUUAAAGACUAAAGGAAAAUAUUAUACAAAUCAGAUGUAUAACAUUGUUUCUACAAAUCUGUCGUAGAAUUCCUGUGAAACAUUUGCUCUGAAUUAAUAUUAUUAGCCAAAUUUGUGAACAUUUCUGUCUGGAGUGUGAAGAAGAGAAGCUUGUGUGCUGAUCAAAGCUUAAUAAAUUUAUGGAAUUGUUGUGAAACAAAGGUAUCAAUGGACAGAAAUACAACAGCAGAAAUAUAUGUAAGGAGUAAAAUAUAAAAACAAAAGCAAGAAGAAUAUAUUAAGUGGGAUUUGAGAGGAAAAGUGAUGGAAAAGAGUGAGAAAAUUAUUUCCCUUGAAGACAU